Molecule: unclassified non-coding RNA, 429 nt
Filed under: soil metagenome
Description: partial contains 5.8S ribosomal RNA, internal transcribed spacer 2, and large subunit ribosomal RNA
Rfam family: 5.8S ribosomal RNA (bases 1-120)
Source: RNAcentral
GAUGAAGAACGCAGCGAAAUGCGAUACGUAAUGUGAAUUGCAGAAUUCAGUGAAUCAUCGAAUCUUUGAACGCAUAUUGCGCUCUCUGGUAUUCCGGAGAGCAUGCUUGUUUGAGUAUCAGUAAACACCUCAACUCUUUUUUCUUUUUUGAAAUUGGAGCUGGACUUGAGUGAUCCCAACGCUUUCUUCCAAGAAAGUGGCGGGUUGCUUGAAAUGCAGGUGCAGCUGAACUUUUCUCUGAGCUAUAAGCAUAUCUAUUUAGUCUGCCUAAAAAACAGAUUAUUACCUUUGCUGCAGCUAACAUAAAGGAGACUAGUUCUUGUGCUGACUGAUGCAGGAUUCACAGAGACAGCUUCGGCUGACUUUGUAAACUCGAUCUCAAAUCAAGUAAGACUACCCGCUGAACUUAAGCAUAUCAAAAGCGGAGGA